AGUGAACGCUGGCGGUAGGCCUAACACAUGCAAGUCGAACGGCAGCACAGUAAGAGCUUGCUCUUACGGGUGGCGAGUGGCGGACGGGUGAGGAAUACAUCGGAAUCUACUUUUUCGUGGGGGAUAACGUAGGGAAACUUACGCUAAUACCGCAUACGACCUACGGGUGAAAGCAGGGGAUCUUCGGACCUUGCGCGAUUGAAUGAGCCGAUGUCGGAUUAGCUAGUUGGCGGGGUAAAGGCCCACCAAGGCGACGAUCCGUAGCUGGUCUGAGAGGAUGAUCCGCCACACUGGAACUGAGACACGGUCCAGACUCCUACGGGAGGCAGCAGUGGGGAAUAUUGGACAAUGGGCGCAAGCCUGAUCCAGCCAUACCGCGUGGGUGAAGAAGGCCUUCGGGUUGUAAAGCCCUAUUGUUGGGAAAGAAAAGCAGCAGGUUAAUACCCCGCUGUUCUGACGGUACCCAAAGAAUAAGCACCGGCUAACUUCGUG
RNAcentral lists this ribosomal RNA (492 nucleotides) under uncultured bacterium. Its description in RNAcentral is "partial 16S ribosomal RNA". It matches the Rfam family "Bacterial small subunit ribosomal RNA", at positions 29 to 507 of the family's 1533-position model. The record is from RNAcentral.